GAUGAAGAACGCAGCGAAAUGCGAUAAGUAAUGUGAAUUGCAGAAUUCAGUGAAUCAUCGAAUCUUUGAACGCACAUUGCGCCCGCCAGUAUUCUGGCGGGCAUGCCUGUCUGAGCGUCAUUUCAACCCUCAAGCAACUUCUGCUUGGUGUUGGGGAUCGGCCGUCAAACGCCGCCCCCGAAAUCUAUCGGCGAUCUCGCUGUAGCUUCCUAUGCGUAGUAGUAACAUCUCGCAUCUGGAGAGCGGCGCGGUCAUGCCGUAAAACACCCAACUUCUCAGGUUGACCUCAGAUCAGGUAGGAAUACCCGCUGAACUUAAGCAUAUCAAUAAGCGGAGGA
This 338-nucleotide unclassified non-coding RNA is filed under the name soil metagenome. RNAcentral's name for it is "partial contains 5.8S ribosomal RNA, internal transcribed spacer 2, and large subunit ribosomal RNA". The stretch from base 1 to 120 matches the Rfam family "5.8S ribosomal RNA", at positions 35 to 154 of the family's 154-position model. The record is from RNAcentral.